Molecule: ribosomal RNA, 253 nt
Filed under: uncultured bacterium
Lineage: Bacteria
Description: partial 16S ribosomal RNA
Rfam family: Bacterial small subunit ribosomal RNA
Source: RNAcentral
UACGUAGGCAGCAAGCGUUGUUCGGAGUUACUGGGCGUAAAGAGUGCGUAGGCGGUGCCCUAAGUCUGUUGUGAAAUCUCCCGGCUUAACUGGGAGGGUGCGGUGGAAACUGGGGUGCUUGAGAGUGGGAGAGGUUAGCGGAAUUCCUGGUGUAGCGGUGAAAUGCGCAGAUAUCAGGAGGAACACCGGUGGCGAAGGCGGGUCUCUGGGCCGAUACUGACGCUGAGGAGCGAAAGCGUGGGGAGCGAACAGG